UACGUAGGGGCAAGCGUUGUCCGGAAUCAUUGGGCGUAAAGAGCGUGUAGGCGGCCAGGUAGGUCUGGUGUGAAAACUCGAGGCUUAACCUCGAGAUGUCAUCGGAAACCAUCUGGCUAGAGUCCGGAAGAGGAGAGUGGAAUUCCGUGGUGUAGCGGUGAAAUGCGCAGAUAUCAGGAAGAACACCAAUGGCGAAAGCAGCUCUCUGGGACGGUACUGACGCUGAGACGCGAAAGCGUGGGGAGCGAACAGG
This 253-nucleotide ribosomal RNA is filed under the name uncultured bacterium. Its description in RNAcentral is "partial 16S ribosomal RNA". It matches the Rfam family "Bacterial small subunit ribosomal RNA", at positions 524 to 776 of the family's 1533-position model. The record is from RNAcentral.